This is a long non-coding RNA of Oncorhynchus keta (chum salmon), 330 nucleotides long. RefSeq lists it as uncharacterized. The transcript has 3 exons. The record is from RefSeq and is a predicted model, not a curated record. Lineage: Eukaryota; Metazoa; Chordata; Actinopteri; Salmoniformes; Salmonidae.
GAGACAGGGGGAGACAGUGGGUGAGGUAACCAACAGAGACAGAGGGUGAGGUAACCAACAGAGACAGAGGGUGAGGUAACCAACAGAGACAGAGGGUGAGGUAACCAACAGAGACAGAGGGUGAGGUAACCAACAGAGACAGAGGGUGAGGUAACCAACAGAGACAGAGGGUGAGGUAACCAACAGAGACAGAGGGUGAGGUAACCAACAGAGACAGAGGGUGAGGUAACAAACAGAGACAGAGGGUGAGGUAACAAACAGAGACAGAGGGUGAGGUAACCAACAGAGACAGAGGGUGAGGUAACCAACAGAGACAGAGGGUGAGGUAAC